GGCACCAGUAAUUGCAACGUUUUCUAUAAGCCCCCCAAAAAAGCUAAAAAAAUUGGUGCUAAAUGAAAAUUCAAAAUGAUGGUAAAGUCGGCCUUUUUCCAUUUCCUUCUCAAACCUUCCUUGCCUCUUCCAUCUCGCAGAACCCUCGAGAACGAUACAGGCAGUCUCGCCUCUAUCUCAUUUCUCUUGCCUCCGUCAUCUUACUCCUCCUUUCUCUGUCUCUGGAAUCGAUCGAUCUAUUUGAAGAGGAUCGACAGUUCUGAAAUGGUGUUUAGAUGGGUGGGGGUUGUGCGUGUGCGGUCCAGCUUGAUGAUCGUGGAAGCCAUCGAUUCUGCUUCUACGACAUAGCCUCAACUCUGCUUCCAUCUCCAUUUUCUCUCCUCGCUUUCUCUCUCAGAAAUCACCAACGCCAACACUGUGUUGCUCAAAAACCACCAAGCUGUUUGAAAUCUCUUCGAUUCUCUCUCUCAUAAACUACGAAGCACAUCGACCUCUUGCUGAAAAACCGUGAAUUUGGUCCCAAUUCGAAGGAAAUUUUAAGCCCAGAAAAGCCUUGGUUUCCUGGUCUCCACCCCACAUUUCACAAGUUCAAAUUCCAUAGAAGUUGGUUCUGCAGAUUGUGUCUGCAAUUAGAUCAGAGAUCAACCGCUCUUUUGUUAUCAUGCAAAAGAUUGCUUUUGGGAAGGAACUGAAGUAGUUACUCUCUGUGAUUGCUGACCUGUGACUUUGCUUAGAGCUCAAAUUUUGUGAGCAUUACAUUGGAUUGUAUUGCACUUGGUUUGAUGUUGUUUUGGUCGACAAUGAAAGGACAGGAGAAACAAAGAGGAUGACACUUAUAACUGCCCUUCCCCAUCGGCCUUCUUCAAAUUUGGAUCACAAGAAGGGAGCAACAUAGGUAUUGAUUCCGUCUUCAUUUAGAUAUGGUUAAUGUAAAUAAUUGGACAAAAGAGCCAAACAAACCCUUUUCUCUCAAAUGGAGGCGAUGAUGUGGUCGACGGCCACCAGCCCCAACUCAAGAGUUUGGCCUUCUGUAUAAUCGGGUUAUAAGAUAAUUUUAUUUCGGUCCAUUUCUUUUUUCCUUUAUAUAAGUGCAGAUGUUGUGAUGUUUUGAAUGAAGGGUGAUGAAGGGUGGUUCACACACUUUCUCCUUACUUAGAGCAAGUGGAGAUGACGGUUUGUGUAAAAAUAAAAACUUACCAGGUACUUCAAUUUUCUAUUUUAUUAAUUAUUGUUUGGUUUUUGAAAUGUUGUAUUCAGAGAAGAGAGAGACCAAUUGUCCUUGAGAAACAAGUUUCUUUGUCUACAUUUCGAGAAUUUGCGGUUUGCAACUUUCAUUGUUUAUUAUAUUUGAUUGAGUUAAACUUAGAUUUCUGGAUUUUGACUUUCUCGUUUGUUUCUCUAUUGUAGAGUUGGCUUCAUUUCAUUCUAGUAACUCUCUAAAUAGGUCCAAGAACUCACUAAAUAGGUAGUCAAGAAGAAUUCAGUGUUGCCUUCCUUUUUUGCCUGCUGUUUACUCUCUUCCUGGUUGCACUCUCACCGCUUCUGUCGCUCACCACUUUUCUCUCACUCACUGCUUCAUCUCUUUUGUUGCUUACAAUCAUCGCAAAAAAAAUUCGAACCCUCAAACCAACAUAUUCAUUUCGACAGUUUCUCUCACAAUUAAUCUAACCUUGAAACCAACAAAUUGCAAAAAUCCUCAACUGUUGGAUUCUGUUGAGAUAGGCAGAAUUUGAUUGGUGUCUUCAUCAUCGACCGACACCCAGACUGCUUGGUAGUCAUGAUUAGUUUCUUCUGUCAACUUUAGGAUGUGCAUCAAUUGUAAAGAGGAACAAAACAUUUUUUGUUUGUGUCAACACUUCCAAUUGUACUAUAAUUGACAAUUUCUACUAAUUAAUUUAAGUAUUUGGAGUUUAA
This is a long non-coding RNA of Pyrus x bretschneideri (Chinese white pear), 1914 nucleotides long. RefSeq lists it as uncharacterized. Lineage: Eukaryota; Viridiplantae; Streptophyta; Magnoliopsida; Rosales; Rosaceae. The transcript is spliced from 3 exons. The record is from RefSeq and is a predicted model, not a curated record.